Molecule: ribosomal RNA, 492 nt
Filed under: uncultured bacterium
Lineage: Bacteria
Description: partial 16S ribosomal RNA
Rfam family: Bacterial small subunit ribosomal RNA
Source: RNAcentral
AGUGAACGCUGGCGGUAGGCCUAACACAUGCAAGUCGAACGGCAGCACAGUAAGAGCUUGCUCUUACGGGUGGCGAGUGGCGGACGGGUGAGGAAUACAUCGGAAUCUACUUUUUCGUGGGGGAUAACGUAGGGAAACUUACGCUAAUACCGCAUACGACCUACGGGUGAAAGCAGGGGAUCUUCGGACCUUGCGCGAUUGAAUGAGCCGAUGUCGGAUUAGCUAGUUGGCGGGGUAAAGGCCCACCAAGGCGACGAUCCGUAGCUGGUCUGAGAGGAUGAUCAGCCACACUGGAACUGAGACACGGUCCAGACUCCUACGGGAGGCAGCAGUGGGGAAUAUUGGACAAUGGGCGCAAGCCUGAUCCAGCCAUACCGCGUGGGUGAAGAAGGCCUUCGGGUUUUAAAGCCCUUUUGUUGGGAAAGAAAAGCAGCAGGUUAAUACCCCGCUGUUCCGACGGUACCCAAAGAAUAAGCACCGGCUAACUUCGUG